CUGGAACCAAAAUUAUAAAACCCUUUUGGUUUUUGGUUGCCGGUUGAGAGUGAGAAGUUCAAGUGAAGAUGGGAGUGGCAAGCAAAGCAGGAGAUUUGAUAUUCAAAGCGUUCACAGCUGGUCUUGGUGUUGCCACCAUUUAUCUCACCGCUACUUUCUCUGUUAAUGUCUACAGAGGCCUCGCUUGGCAUAACGCUCAAUCGAAACCUGAGAAGCCGGACUCCAGUGAGUAAUCCCCUUGAGUCUGUGCUGCAAUCCGAGGUUGAAAGAUGUUACAUGUUUUCCCUCAUGAAAUUAAAAUGUAUACUUUAAGCAUAUCUUCAAUUUUUCCUUUCACUCAGGUAUGAGAUUCAGUUUCUAAAACCAUAGAGUUCUCAGUUAUUGAAAAUGUAUUAACUUUAAAUUUUAAAUGAUUUCAUUCGAGUAUUUAUCUGCUAUUCUAUUGCCCCAUGUUGGGAAUGUAAUGCUACUGGAUGUUGCAAUAAAACUGAGGAAUAUCCAUUUUUGAGAUUAA
Molecule: long non-coding RNA, 514 nt
Organism: Pistacia vera
Lineage: Eukaryota; Viridiplantae; Streptophyta; Magnoliopsida; Sapindales; Anacardiaceae
Exons: 2
Source: RefSeq, a predicted model, not a curated record